CUCUGACUGUUGUUGUUUUGAAUGUUUCUCCCAUUUCGGCUAGUAGGCCGUUUACGUAGUACUUAGCUCCUAUUAGCUUUUUGUUGCAAUGAAUUGUGGCGUUAAACUUUUCUCCUGGUUCACAUUUUCCUCUCCAGCGCUUAGGUAUUGGUCAAAUAUUUUUACGAAAUUCAUCUUUUUCUUAAAAAAUAUUGCAAAAUUAAAUUAAAUUAUUAAAGCAGACUCGCGCGUAAUUCAGGAUGGUCUGUGCAAGAUUCCGGUUAAAAAAAUAAAGAUCUUUGAUAUGAAGUUUCUUUAGUUUGAGUUUUAUUUAGUACCUGAUAUUUUGUUUGCUUGGGAAGAAGUAAGAAGUGCUGCGAAACCGGAAAAUCCAUGUUGAUAGCUGUAGAUCAUCGAUUUAUGUGCGUCUUCUUUGCUAUAUGUAACAUGAAGAUAUAAGUUAGAGAGCAACUCAUGAUAUGCAUUAAGAAGUAUAACAAAAAAGGAGUAGGGCUUUAGUUUCGUGAAGAAACAGAACAUAGCGAGAGGAUUUCUUUGCUGGCAAGAAACUAAUGUUAAAUAAAACAUAUUCAGCAACUUUGAUGUCAUAGUCACUAUGCAUACAAAAAAAAUCUCACUAGAGAUUUGGCCUUUUGAAGAUGAUUAAGUACCUAUCAAGAAAUGAUUCAAGCAUUUGAUGAUGAGAGGCUGUAACAAGUUCGGGAUCAUCAUUUUCUCUUUCUCCAAGAUAAACUAUAUAAACCUAUGGAAUCAUUGAAAAAUCCACAGUAGAUAAAAUAAAAGUCAAUAAUAUCUUAGCAAAUAUGGAAAGGUCUUUUUUGCGUUAAAUGCCUUGGUGUUGUUGUCUAGGGCUCUCGCAGGUGAAAGAAAACCCAGCUCCGUGUUAACUAAUAGAAACAAAGAAAAUGCCAAUAGAAGCACAAGUUUGUAACUUGGUAAAGAGUUCUUCAUUUUCUUAAUUGAGAAGUGUAUGUGUGUGGAACAAAACCUAUGUGGUUAUUUAUAUACGUAAAUGAUUCAUUCGUCUUUCAAUUUACAGUUCAUAACCCACUUCAGCACUUAGACGUGGAGUUUUGGGUUAGACUCCGGUAUAUGUGUUUAGUUCGUUUAAGAGGAAUGUCAUACUCAAAGGACAAAAAGAAGGUCACUUUGAUUAGAUUUUGUUUUGGUUUAAGUGUGAUGAUUGUACCUAUGAGUAAACAUCAUUAUUUACCAUAUGACAUCGAGAUGAGGUAAGCGGAAGUUUGUUACAGAAUAAGAUAUUUUCGCUCUGUUACCAUAUGAGUAAACAGCACAUUAUACUCAUUAAUUAGUUUCAAAUGUACAAAGUCUGCUUAUAUACAUGACCCGACUGAGUAAACCAAAAGUAAAUAAACCGGUUUAUAUGUACCAGUGUACAAUCAUCAGUUACUAACCAAAACUAUACAAGAGCUUUAUACGAUAAUCGUAUCAUUAGUCUUAUAUAACUGCAUUCAUUAUUUAUGUUGAUUUGAGAAAAUACUUGUCAAACUAAAACUUCACCUCAUUCCGGUUCGUUUUGUUUCAAUCAAUAUCGGUUAGUGAUCACCCUUUCUAGGCACAAGAGUCCCGAUAGAAGGGAAAUAGGAUUCCAACUCUAGAAAUAUAAGAAGAAUAAAAAAAAAAAAAAUUGGUUUAUUGAGUCAACCGUGCAGGGUCAUUUCGGGUCAAACCGGUUUUAUCUCUUUUAUCAUGCGACUAAACCCCACCAAAAUGUUUUGCUCCCUUUGUCAGAUACCCACUUUCCUUAAAGGCUAAUCCUUUCCUGAAAUUGUUUUAUAGAAAUAUAUGAUUUGUUUAACUAAAUAUUAUCAGUUUGGCCUAUAAGAGGAUAUCAAUCAUUUCUGACUAAUCUAGUUAGUAAGUUAAACCAUGGUUUGUUUACGACCAUGACUGACGGAAUUUGGUAUAGAGAGAGAUGAUUACUAUAUCCUGAUAGAGAAAUCCAAACUGAAAGAUAGAAUCAUUGACAAGAAAAGGUUUUCAGUGAUUUAAACUCCAGACUAUUUUUUUUAAAUCGGAAGAAAAACCACCAACUAAAAUUUUAUGCUUUUAAACCUUCAACUAUGAUUUCGUUACUGUAUUAAUCCCUCCGUAAACAAUUCUCUUUAAAGUGAAUAGAAAACGUUAACUUGAAACACUGAGUUUCAUUAAACAUGAGUAACUACAUGUCGUUUUUUUCUUUUUAAUGAAACUCAACGUUUCAAGUUAACGUUUUCCACCCACUUUAGACGGAUUUGUUAACGGAAGAGUUGAUACCCUAACAGAAUCUUAGUUGGGGGUUUAAAAACAUAAAAUUUUAGUUAGAGGUUUUGUUCGGAUCUAAAAAUAGUUCGGGGUUUAAAUCACUAAGAACCAAAAAGAAAACCAAUUCUAAUUUUUGCAUUUAUGGGUAUACACAAAAACAUGGAAUGUGUAUAACAAGAUGAAACUAUAUGAAAAAAAUAUGAAAUCAUAUGCUAAUAUAUUUUUCUAGUAAAUUUUGUUCCGAUUAUCUAUAUAUUCUUAUAUAUAUAUAUAUUAUUUUUAUUUGAAUACAAUUAAUCUAAUAUUACUAAGAAUUGACACUAAAUUACUAUACACAAGUAAACUUCUGUGUUACAUUUGGAUAUAUACUUUUCAUUUGUCUCUUUGUACAGCACAUAUAUUAUAGUCAUGUGUGCAUAUUAUAGUCUUGAAUUGAAUGUGUUUUUCAUACUUGGUAGAUAAAUGGUGACCACCAAUAGUUGAAUCUGUUUGAUAGUGGAAUCUUCAAAGGUGGUACGACUGAAUUUAUUGACUCGCUUUUUAUGCACGUGCAAGAAAUAGAUUAUUUUGUGUUUUAUUUUUUCUUUUUCUGCCAAAUGAUUAUUGUGUGUUUUCUUCUUCUUAGAAAGGCAUGAUAAAUUGAUAAUGGUUAAAUACUAGAAAUCUAGCAUGCAUCGCAGAUAAUCCGUAACAAAGCACCGAUUGACCUCACCCACUUGUCUCUCUUCAUAAUAUAUAUCCUCGAAUACACGUUUGUGCUCAUGUUACUACGUGUUUUCAGAAUGUUGUUGUUGUAUUGUUCUUAGCUGAGUGUUGAAGAAUUUCUGAAGAACACCCUUUCACCUUUUUUGUCUUCCUGGAGAUUUUUAUGACCGUGUUAUUGUUGUAGGGUAUUUAUUGCGCAUGCAUGAUACUUUGAUCAUACUAGUUUGCGAUCAUACUAAUUAGUGUAUGUUUAUUUCUGGUUGACUACAAACUAUUAUUACAAGAUACCUAAUUUGUUCUAAAGAAAAGACUAUCAGAUAACAAAUGCUUUUACAAUAUAUAUAAUAUAUAAGUAGAUUGAUAAUCGUAACGUAAAUAAUUUGCAAGAUGCAUUUUUUAAUGAAAAAAAGAAAUGCGCUUGUGCUUUUAUAUACGUUAAGCACUCUAUUUGGCUCGAAGGUUAGUAUAUAUAAAUUCCGCAUGAAAAGUUCGGUCAACAAAAACCAUAGUAUGGAAAACAUUAAUCAUUAGAACAGUGAAACCCACUUAACAUAGAACUUCGAAGGCCUUCACUAAUCACACGAGUGGAGAUUGUAUUUCGGGUAAAGCUUCUCUCAUUUUCAACCCGAAAUACUUUAUUAUACUUUUUGACCAAUAUUUCUGAUACUUGUUUUAGUUUCUGAUUACUAUUUUUAUAGGGAUACUAGCAAAAUACAUUCGCGCAACUAAGAGUGAAGCGACCGUUUGUGUGUUUAAAUUCUAACUUUCUAUUUCAAAUUUUAACAUUUCCAGAACUUUUUUUAUAUCUCUAAAAAUAAUUAUAGAUUUAGGAUAAUAUUUCCUAGCUAGGUUGGGUUUUUAUUUCACAAUUAUUUUUCCCAAUUACGGUGCAUAAUUUUAUAUCAGUGAGAAAAAAAAAAAGAGAGCAGCCGAAAAAGAGGAAGAUUUUAGUUUCAAAAAAAAAAAAAAGAAAAAGACGAAGACAAACUACCCAUGCAUGCGUGGUGGUAGUCUUGUAGGGUAGUGAGUAAGCAUUAGUUUUAGUUGGCUGUUAAGUAUCACCUUCCAUGUGCUACCGUUUGGUUGGUCUGAGGAAUGAGGGUGUCAAAUUAUUUAUCUUUUUAUUGGAGGGUAAUUAGAAAAAAAGAAAAAGAAACAUGCAAAUUUUAUUAUUCUCUCCAUCAAAAAUUCACGAAAAUAUUCAGUAUAUAUGCUACAUGUGCAGGAAAUGAACUUGGAGGUCUCAUGUCAAGCUUUAAACUUUAAGAUAUAUUAUGGGAUGAUUGGAAGGAGUUGUAACUUUAUAUUUUUGCUUUAGAAAUAAAACUGUAGAUUUUUUUGCUGUGGCCGUAAAUAAUUUUGCUGUAAAAUAUUAUCUGUAGGUUUAAAAAGAUUCAAUGAUUUACAUAUAAAUUUUCUAAAACAAAAAAUAAGUGCUCUAGAUUUAUAGUUUUCCACAGCUAAAAAAUAAAUAAAUAAAAAACUGUAGUUUUAAAAAAUCUUAACAAAGCAUUGUUAUCAAAAUUUUGGACUGUAUAAAUAAUUUAGCCGGUAGAGAGAUCCUACAUCACUUUUAAAACAAUUGCCAAUCAACCUCAAUUAACAAGUCUAUCGUUAACAUAUGGUUGCAACGAAUAAAUUAGGAUAUUUGAUUCGAUACAGUCAGAAUUGAAAUUUGCAACAAACUACGUAAGAACAAAGACCAUAGCAUCAUACCGCUCUUUUUUAAUACAUUGAAUCGAUCGAAAUCGCUUAUUGUUCAGAUACUUUUUGAGUUUCUUUGUUACGCCUUGAUCUUCAUCACCGAUCCAUCAUCACCUAAACAUAAGCUCUUUAUGUCUCUUCUCCGUUUUCCUUUUUUUUUUUUUUUUGUUAUUGAUAAUUCUGUUAGUUUCUUGUAUUUAUUUUGAUAUUAAUGUUAAUAUACUGACUUAAGUUUAAUUAUAGUGGUAAUAACGUUAGGUUUCUCCGAGUUCUUGAGCUUACAAAAACAGAGUAAAAACAUAAAAUAUAGGUAGAGGAAUAUCAAGCUGCUUCACUUCCCAGCAUCAAAACAACUGCCGACAUCAGUGGUCUAUCAUCUACACGUGCUUGAACACACAACAGGCCAACCUGUAAGCACCUUAAGAUUUCACGUGGCCUGAACGUUGGGGAUGAAGAAUCUUUUAGGAAACUAUCCAAAAUUAACAGGUUUUUAAAAAAUUAUUUUAAAAAUACAACUAUGAAAUUUUUUGAAAGAAUACUUAUCUAUAAACAAAAAUUUAUUGUAUCUUUAUUUUUAAGUCACAGUCCCAAAUCUACAAUAGUUCUCUAUAAAAAUGAAAACUUUUCGAAAAUAGCAAGUUCUUAAAAAAUUAUUAAAAAAAUGUUACCUAUUGAUGAAAAAUUUUGAAAGAAUACUCAUCUAUUAACACAAUUUUUUGUUAAAUUAUUGUCUAAGUCACAAUCCAAAAUCUACAAUAAUUUUCUAUAAAAAUGAAAACUAUCCAAAAAUAGCAGGUUUUAAAAAUAUUAUUUUAAAAAUGCAACCUAUUGAUGAAAAAUUCUGAAAAAAUACUCAUCUACAAAAAAAACUUUUUGUUAUACUAAUUUCUAAGUCACAAUCAGAAACUAAAUUAGUUCUUUAUAAAAAUUAAAACUAUCCAAAAAUAGCAAGUUCUUAAAAAAAUAUUUUAAAAAUGCAACCUAUUGAUGAAAAAUUCUAGAAGAAUACUCAUCUACAAACAAAAAUUCUUGUUAUUCUUAUUUCUAAGUCACAAUCCCAAAUCUACAAUAGUUCUCUAUAAAAAUGAAAACUUUCCAAAAAUAGCAAGUUAUUAGAAAAAUAUUAUAAAAAUACAACCUAUUGAUGAAAUUUUUUGAAAGAAUACUCAUAUAUGAAAAAAAAUUCUAGUUAUCAUAAUUUCUAAGUCAUAAUCCCAAAUCUACAAUAGUUCUCUAUAGAAAUAAAAAAUUUCCAAAAAUAGCAGCUUUCGUAAAAUUAUUGAAAGAACCUAUUGAUGAAAAAUUCUGAAAGAAUACUCAUCUGUCAACAAAAAUUCAUGUUAUACGAAUUUCAAAAUUACAAUCUCAAAUUUACAAUAGUUCUCUAUAGAAAUGAAAACUAUCCAAAAAUAGCAGGUUUUUUAAAAAAUAUUUUAAAAAUGCAACCUACUGAUGAAAAAUUCUGAAAGAAUACUCAUCUACAAACAAAAAUUCAUGGUAUCCUUAUUUCUAAGUCACAAUCCCAAAUCUACAAUAGUUCUCUAUAAAAAUGAAAACUUUUUAAAAAUAGAAGGUUCUUAAAAAAUAUAAAAAAUGUUACCUAUCGAUGAAAAAUUCUUGUUAUAUAGAUUUCUAAGUCACAAUCCAAAAGCUACAAUAGUUCUCGAUAAAAAUAAAAACUAUCCAAAAAAUAGCAGGUUUAAAAAAAAAAUAUUUUAAAAAUGCAGCCUAUUGAUAAAAAAUUCUGAAAGAAUACUCAUCUACAAACAAAAAUUCAUGGUAUUUUAUUUCUAAGUCACAAUCUCAAAUCUACAAUAAUUUUUUAUAAACAUGAAAACUAUUCAAAAAUAGUAGGUUCUAAAAAAAUAUUAAAAAAUGUUACCUAUUGAUCAAAAUUUCUGAAAGAAAACUCAUUUAUUAACAAAAAUUCUUGUUAUAUUAAUUUCUAAGUCACAAUCCAAAAUCUACAAUAGUUCUCUAUAAAAAUGAAAACUAUCCAAAAAUAGCAGGUUUUAAAAACAUUAUUUUAAAAAUGCAACCUAUGGAUGAAAAAUUCUGAAAAAAUACUUAUCUACAAACAAAAAUUCUUGUUAUACAAAUUUCUAAGUCAUAAUCCAAAACUACAUUAGUUCUCUAUAAAAAUUAAAAUUAUCCAAAAAUAGCAGGUUUUAAGAAAAAUUAUUUUAAAAAUGCAACUUAUUGAUGAAAAUUUGUAAAAGAAUACUCAUCUACAAACAAAAAUUCUUGUUGUCCUUAUUUCUAAGUCACAAUCCCAAAUCUACAAUAGUUUUCUAUAAAAAAUGAAAACUUUCCAAAAAUAGCAGGUUCUUAAAAAAAUAUUAUAAAAAUGUAACUUAGUGAUGAAUUUUUUUGAAAGAAUACUCAUAUGUGAAAAACAAAUUCUAGUUACCUAAUUUCAAAGUCACAAUCUCAAAUCUACAAUAGUUCUCUAUACAAAUAAAAAAUUUCCAAAAAUAGCAGCUUUCGUAAAAAUUAUUGAAAAAAUGUAACCUAUUGAUGAAAAUUUUUGAAUGAAUACACAUCUGUCAACAAAAAUUCUUGUUAUCCAAAUUUCAUAGUCACAAUCUAAAAUCUACAAUAGUUCUCUAUAGAAAUGAAAACAUAUUUAAAAAAUAGCAAUUUUUUCAAAAAUUAUUGAAAUAUGUAACCUAUUGAUGAAAUUUUUUGAGAGAAUACUCAUCCAUCAACUAAAAUUCUUAUUAUCUUAAUUUCAAAGACAUAAUCCCAAAUCUACCAUAGUUUUCUAUAGAAAUGAAAACUAUCCAAAAAUAGCAGGUUUUUAAAAAAUUAUUUUAAAAAUGCAACCUAUUGAUGAAAAAUUCUGAAAUAAUACUCAUCUACAAACAAAAAUUCAUGGUAUCCUUAUUUCUAAGUCACAAUCUCAAAUCUACAAUAGUUCUCUAUAAAAAUGAAAACUUUUCAAAAAUAGCAGAUUCUUAAAAAAAUAUAUAAAAAUGUUACCUAUUGAUGAAUUUUUUUUGUUAUAUUAAUUUCUAAGCCAUAAUCCAAAAUCUACAAUAGUUCUGUAUAAAAAUGAAAACUAUCCAAAAAUAGUAGGUUUUAAAAAAAAUAUUUUAAAAAUGCAACAUUUUGAAGAAAAAUUCUGAAAGAAUACUCAUAUAUAAACAAAAAUUCUUGUUAUACUAAUUUCUAAGUCACAAUCCAAAAUCUACAAUAGUUCUCUAUAAAAAUGAAAUCUUUCCAAAAAUAACAGGUUCUUAAAAAAAUAAUAUAAAAAUGCAACCUAUUGAUGAAAUUUUUUGAAAGACCACUCAUAUAUGAAAAAAAUUCUAGUUAUUCUAAUUUCUAAGUCACAAUAGUUCUCUAUAAAAAUGAAAACUAUCCAAAAAUAGUAGGUUUAAAAUUUUUUUUUUUAAAAUGCAACCUAUUGAUAAAAAAUCAUCUACAAACAAAAAUUCAUGUUAUCCUAAUUUCUAAGACACAAUCUUAAAUCUACAAUAGUUCUUCAUAGAAAUAAAAACUUUCCAAACAUAGAAGCUUCUCUAAAAAUUAUUGGAAAAAUGCAACCUAUUAAUGAAAAAUUAUGAAAGAAUACUCAUCUGUCAACAAAAAUUCUUGUUAUCCUAAUUUCAUGAUGCCCACUGAGUAAGAUUCGGGGGCUUCCCGGCGCAGAAAGCAUAAUCUCAAAUCUACAAUAGUUAUCUAUAGAAAUGGAAACUUUUAAGAAAUAGUAGUUUUUGUAAAAAUUAUUGAAAUAUGUAAUUUAUUGAUGAAAAAUUCUGGAAAAAUACUCAUCUAUCAAAACAAAUUCUUGUUAUCCUUAUUUCUAAGUCACAAUCCCUAAUCUAUAAUACUUCUCUAUAAAUAUGAAAAAAUCCAAAAAUAGGAGGUUUUUUAAUUUUUUUUUUAAAUGUAACUUAUUGCUGAAAACUUCUGAAAGGAUACUCAUCUAUUUACAAAAAUUCUUGUUAUAUUAUUUCUAAGUCACAAUCCCAAAAAAAUAGUAGUUAUCUAUCAACAAAAAAUACUUGUUAUCCUAAUUUUAAAGUCACAAUCCCAAAUCUACAGUAGUUCUCUAUAAAAAAUGAAAACUUUUCCAAAAUACCAGUUUUUAAAAAAAUUAUUGAAAUAUGUAACAUGUUAUAAAAAAAUAUUGAAAUAUGUAACAUGUUAUGAAAAAUUAUUUAAAAAUAAUUCAUUUGUACUCUUUUUCAUUUAUUUAAAUUUAGUGAAAUAUAUUUAGGUCACAAACUCACAAUAAAUCGCUAAGACACUAUCUCUUCACAUUUCUUCAAGCCAAUUCUCGAAUCCACAAUACCAUCUUAAUUAGUAUCUGGCAACUUCAUCUUCUCUAGCCUCAAAAACCCAUCUUCGCUACAACUAAGCCGCGUUCUCCUCACACACACAGAUGAUCCGUCUCUCAAGUCCCACAGCUGCUGAUUUGUUUUCAAUCUGUGGACCUAAUGCGUAUUUGGUCACAAUAAUCAUUAGGCCCACAGCUUGAGAACAAAUCGCAGUCGUCCGUUGGUAAACUCCAGAAAUAGCUCCUGGUAUAAUCAUCUGAGAGAGGGUUGUCUCUGUUGGCUGCCCAUGCGUAGGUUUUCUUCGAGAUUUCUUAUACCAUAUUCCCAGAUACCAACGCGAUCGAGAGUGCCGGCGGUUUGAAAAAAACAAGCUCGAAGACUCCACCGGGAGAUACGAGUGUUCUGUUGCUAAUUGAGAUUGUGUGAGAUCCUGAAGACGACAAUGUGUUGAUAUCGAUCGAAAGGGUAGGAUGAAAUAUAAUCAAGACGAGCAAGAACGAGAAGGUGUAAGAACGGUUGUAUAUAUGUUCUCUACACCUUCCAUAUUUCUCUACCACUUUCUUUCUUAUACUUUUUUUCUCGUUUAUAUUUAAACUUUUUUGACGUACGAUUGAUGAAAGUAACUUGCAUAUAUUAGUAUCGGGUUCCUAUUCAUAUCUUAAUCUUUAGUUACUUCCGCAAGAAAAUUCGAAAUCAAUUAAUUAUUAUCACGACCCUAGCAGACAAGCAAAAUGUUGUGUUUCAUAUUCCAUGACUUUUUCACCCUUUCAAUCAAUUCAUUUCCACUAACCUUUAUAUAUCAUUGGUAUAUAUUUUUUAAAUUUACGCUUUAUUAGUUCUCACGCUGCCAACAUAGCAUAUGGUGUUCGUCAAGUAUGGUGUUCUCUUUCUCAAAAAAAAAAAGUAUGGUGUUCUCAAGAGCAUCAUACGAUCCAUUCAAAGUUUAUUGAAAAGUUUUGUACCAUUUCUUCAACGAUUGUGGAAAGAUUAAACUUAGGAUUUGAGUGGAUUCUCCUCUACCACUCACAAAUGCAUUUUUUAUCGGUGGUAACAUUGGUAUUUUACAACAUAAAUCGAUUUAAACCAUUUCAAACCUUUUAAAAUCAAAAAUUGAUCUUGCUAGUGUUUGCGGUUGCAGAUUGUUGCGGUUGUGGGUGGAUAAAUAAAUGUAAAAAUAUUUUCUAAAAUUAUUUUGAAAUUUUACAUUUCAGUCUUAUAAUAGAAAUAUUAUAAAUAAAAGUUUAUAAAUAAAUUUUGUAUUUUAAUUUAUAUUCACUAACAAUAUCAUAAUUUAUUUUAUAAAAACUUCCAACCAAAAAUAUUCACUAUAAUUCUUGAACAUUAAUAUAUAUACAUAUAUAAACAUAUAUACAUUUUAUAAAUUAUAUAUCAGUGAGAAGAAAAAAAUUGAAAGCAGCUGAAAAAGGGGAAGACAAACUGCUCAUGCAUGCAUGGUGGUAGUCUGGUAGGACAGUGAGUCCCAUUAGUUGACCGUAAAGUAUAACCUUCCAUGUGAACGAGUGUGUGUCAAAUUGUUUCUCUUUUUACUGGAGGGUAAUUAGAAAAAGGAAUGUUCAAAAAAAAAAAAAUUAGAAAAAGGAAAAAAACAUGUAAUUUUUUUUAUUUUUCCCAUCAAAAAUACACGAAAAUAUUCAAUAUAUAUGAACUUGGAGUUCUCAGGUCAAACUUAAAGAUAUAUUAACAAGUCAAGACACUAAUGCUAUAGUUAACAUAUGGUUGUAACGAAUAAAUUAGGAAAUUUCACGGUUUUCUCUAUAUGUGUGUUUGUUAUUGUAUAAGAGAUUCAAAUUUUUUAGUGAUUUCAUCUUUCUAAUUAGUAAAGAUGUUGAUUUGACACACUUCGAAUUGAAAUUUGCAACAAACUUCAUAAUUAAGAACAAAGCCAUGAGCAUCGCAUGGCUCUUUUUUUAAUACAUUGAGUCGAUCGAAAUCGCUUAUUAUUCAGAUAAUUUUGAGUUUCUUUGCUAAGCCUUGAUCAUAAUCUUUGUCUGAACAGAGACAGGGAUCUUAACAUCAUGAACACCAUCAGUCCAUGUCAAGCUUCCAAAGAAGUAACCAGUGUUGACUUUAUGGCUCGUUUUAGCCUUCACCUUGAAAGUAGGCCUGGGUUCGCGGGUCAACCCGCCCCGCACGACCCGCCAACCCGCGGAUCGUUUCUUUUGUUUUAGUUAAAAUUUCGACCCGUUCAACCCGCAAAGAAAUAAACUAAUACCCGCACCUGCCCCGCUUUAUUUUGCGGGUAACCCGUGGGACCCGCGGGUUAUAUUUUUAAUUAAAAAAAUAAUUAUUUAAUUAGUUUUUCUGCAAAAUAAUAUAUUUAUAAGUAAUUUUUUAUAUUAUUUUUUAAAAGUUUAAUUAUUUUCUUUUAAAAAUAACUAUUUUUCUAAAAAAAAUCGAAUUUUUCAAAAAAAAAGAUUUUUUUUUAUUUUUUAUUUUAUUUUGCGAGUUGGCGGGUAUCCGCAAAUCAAAAUCCACCAACCCGCACCCGCCCCGCAAAAAAUAGUCUUAACCCGCACCCGCAUCCGCGACUUGAUUUUUUCAAAAUGCUCGACCCGCACCCGCCCCGCGGCGGGUCAAAUGGGGCGGGCCCCGCGGGCUUUGAUUUAAAUUCCCAGGCCUACUUGAAAGUGAGCACUCUCUUAGCUGCAGAGCUAAACACGAGUGUGUUCGGUGUGACGGUGAGAGUUAUGCCGAGUGGAGACUCGAUCACAGCUUUGUAGACUGACUUGAUGGGUCCAACAUUGGUCACAGUUCUUGUGAGUGUGACUUCUUUUUCAAUAUUUGGAAUUGUGAUUGAAGGUAAGUUCAUAUCAAGAAUUGAUGGCUUAGGAUUUGGACACUUGGUAAUUAUACCAGAAAUUGAGGAAUCGUUGUAACCAGCAGAACACAUAUAGUUGAUGUAAUCUUGAAUCCCCAUAUCGUAGACAAGUCCUGGUUUUGAAGCUCUUUGAGGGUUUACAAGACCUCCUCCAUAGUCAAAUGGAUCUGCAAGCUUCUUGUUUGAUCCUUCAGCAAAAAUGGGCUCUCCAGAUGGACUUGUCCUCCAAGCUUCCAAAAAGAGACAGGUUAGUCAGUUUUGUUUGUGUAGUUGAAGAAGAAAAAGUGAAGAACUAAGCAAAGAACCUGUUGUGACCAAAGCUGAUCUAACUGCAGCAGGAGACCAGUUAGGGUGCGGAGACUUGAGGAGAGCUAUGAUUCCAGAAACAACAGGAGUCGACAUGGAUGUCCCUGUAUCUAGUCCAAAUCCAUCAUGUUCUCUAGAAUCAAACGGACUUAAUGCAGCGAGUAUGCUCACACCAGGAGCUGCUAUAUCAGGCUACAUAGUGUAAAAUGUGAUAAAUAAUCUAGUUUCAACUUUUGAAGUAAACAACAUAGACCAGAGACAUAACGGCUUUGUAACCUUGAGAAUGGCUGGUGAAACUGAGUUAGGCCCUCUACAUGAGAAUGCAGCAACCUUUGUAGUUGCAGGCAAACCUGUUAAUGUCGUAGCCGAGUUUAUUCUCACCGUAGGAGAUCUGUGAUUAGACGUUGGAUCAAUAAUAUUUAUAGAUAAAAAAAAAAGAGAGGGAUGUGACAUUAUAAACAGAGUUUAUCUGCUUCAAGAUAGAGGAACCUGGUGGUACGUAUGUAUUGUAAAAUGUCGGUUCCAAGCUCGUAAUCUGCAAAAAUGCACUUAAAAGAAUGGCACCGUUGAAGUAGAUCGUCAGGCUUUCGGGCAAAGAUGACUCCUGCUACACCUUUCAAUCUAAUUGGAGUGGUACGUAUACUAUCGAAAACAAGAACUGUUUUCCCCUUCACAUCAACAUUAUCAUCACUGUUUGAGUCCAGGAAGGCUAAACCGGUUGUAAUCUCCGGUCCAGUGUACAGAGAUUCAGCCUAGUUAGACACCAACAAGUUAAAAUAGCUCCAAAUAAACUAUAAUUGUUGUUUAGGUUUUUGGGUAAUAAAAGGUAUUAAAACGUACCAAGAAGGUUUGAUUAUUCCCAAGAGUGAUCUUGGUAGGAAAAGACCGGUCAAGAGUAGUAGCAGCAACGGUCAAAAGCCAUGGAGCAACAUUGACAACAGUCUAAGCAGCAGGGCCUGCGUUACCUGCCGCAGCAACAACCGGAAUCCCUUUUGUCACCGCGUGAAAAGCCGCGAUAUAGUCGAGCUUAUCAACCUCUGAAUCCUCUGGAAUACCCCCGCCAAUAGAAACAGACAAAACAUCAACCCCAUCGUGUAUAGCAUCAUCAAAAGCCUUCCACAUAUCAGCAGUUGUACACCCUCCAGCAUGUUCUACUCCGUUCCAACACGCCUUGUAUGCGGCUAUCCGGGCCUUAGGAGCACCACCUCGGACUGUGCCUGACAAGGGAACAAGGUUAUGUCUUAUUAAACCUAUACCUUGACUCUUAAACUAACUUAUAUCAGGGAUGGAUCAAUACACUUAUUAUCGAUUAGUUUUAUGUUGGAAGUCAAUUUUGACUUAAAAUAUAUAUAUAUAUAGUGAAUACUAUCAAAAGUUUCUGUUGGCUUGGUUCAGUCUCAACUUCUACUUAUCAUGUACCUUGGGCUAGACCAUAGUAGCUUGCAUUGGAGACGAAUGAGCCUCCGGUUAUUUCGGCUGUAUGCGUGCCGUGACCGAUUACAUCUCUGCUGGAUUUGAGAUCUUGGAUUAUGGUUCGGUUGAAUUUUCCUCCCAUCUCGGCGAGUAGGCCGCUUACGUAGUACUUAGCUCCUAUUAGCUUUUUGUUGCAAUGAAUUGUGGCGUUAAACUUUUCUCCUGAUACACAUUUUCCUCUCCAGCGCUUAGGUAUUGGUCCAAGGCCUUGAUCGUUGAAUACCUUUGACUCUGGCCAUAUUCCUUUAUAUAUACAU
This 13835-nucleotide long non-coding RNA is filed under the name Brassica napus (rape). RNAcentral's name for it is "long non-coding RNA (BNAP_LNC020791)". Lineage: Eukaryota; Viridiplantae; Streptophyta; Magnoliopsida; Brassicales; Brassicaceae. The record is from RNAcentral.